Bubalus bubalis (water buffalo) is the source of this 4235-nucleotide long non-coding RNA. RefSeq lists it as uncharacterized. The record is from RefSeq and is a predicted model, not a curated record. NCBI's taxonomy places the organism in Eukaryota, Metazoa, Chordata, Mammalia, Artiodactyla, Bovidae. The transcript is spliced from 2 exons.
AUUUAGACACGGCAGUCUCUAACCCUGUUAGGUUUUUAUUUCUGUGCACAUUGUCAUUGGCACUGGUUGCAAAUCUGCUAUUGUUGCUGCUAUUCCUCUGUUCUGAGGUCUUCUGUCUGUACCUGGAAUACCCAAGGGAGUCACUCCUGCUGGAGGUCUUGCAUCCACAGUCUCGUUGCCACCCCUUCUCCAUGUCCUCACAUCUACCAGAUUGUCACCUGAGUUGAGCAAAUGUCUUUUCUUGGUACUAAACUCCUGAUGGGGGAGUGUAUUGAAAUGGAGCUUAAUCCUCAUUAUCACUGAAGGAUGAGAGGCUUGGAGAAGAGAGUUAAAGUCUAGGAAACAUGUCCCUCUAACACAGUUAUUGAUAGUUGCCAUGUUCAGAACAGUUCUGGAGAGGGCUCUUUGGUCCAGAGUAUAUCCUUGAUGAAAUCACAGAACCUAACCACCAUUUUAUAAUAUUCUGUCUACAGGGAACUGCAUUCAAAUCUCCAAAUAAGCUUGCUUAUUUACAAUUUUAGUUUGUCUACAGGGAACUGCAUUCAGAAUUUCAAAUAAGCUUGCUUAUUUACAAAGGUAAUCUUGAAAAACAAUGUGGAAGUCAGGGAUAACAAGUGCUCUAGGUAUUUCUGUUACACAGAUCUAAGUGGGUUUGGGGUUUCUACUACUCUCACUGCCCAGGUGCUCAUAGCCUUGGUGCUGGGGCCAGGAUUUGUGUGUACAUACAGUGUUUGCAUUGUUAAAUCUCUCUGAAACUGAACUUCACAGGUUUACCUGAGUUAUCUUGUAAUCAGCAAGUGACCCUUUUUUAUUAGUUAUGUGGGUACUUAGAUCACUUUCACUGUUUCUGUGGGGGCAGUUCUUUGUUUCCUGAUGCGUCCCUGAAAUACCUGCUUUAGACAGACUUCAACUAAGUCAUUAAUGAAAAAGUUGAGGUAUUAUAUUUCCCUGCUAAAGAGUGUGCUCUAAGAACUGGGAAUGGGAUAGAUGUUUGUCUCUUCACACCCCUUCACCCCAUCUAGUAUAAACAGGCCAAAUGGAAAGAUUGUCUUAGGCAUUAGUUUUCCAAGGGAUGAUUUGUUCUUCCUCACAUCACACUGGCAUGUUUGCUUGGGCACAUAGCCAUCCUGGCUGGGCACCAAAAUUGCAAAGAUCAAGAUGACUUGGUUUCUCAGAGACUAACUGCCCCCACCCCCGCAAGCCCCACUUUGACUUCAUCUCUACUCCCUCCUCUUUCAGUGAAAGUCCAUGACUGUGCCACGCCACAGAACGAACACUGCUUGGUAGCAACAGAGACACAUUUUCCAUGCAUCUAGGCUACCCUUCUUUCAAGUCUGGCCUUUGGUUUGCAGUCUCCACCCUCCAGCACCAAGUUGCUUGAGGCCUACAUUUGGGACUGUCUCACUCAAGUGCCACUACUUCUUUGUUCAUUCAUUGGCUUCCCUGCUCACUGUCCGAAACCCAGCUUGUUUUUUUUUUUUUCUUUUCUUUUCUUUUUUGGUCACAGUGGGCCCUUCUAGUUUGUUGUACCAGUUCUGUCCGUCUUGGCUCAGCCAUGCAUCUGGUGUGUGGGGGGGGAGGGGAGAGAAGUUCAGCAUUAAGGCUGAUAAAGUUUGACAACACUCAGCAAAUUGGUAGCUGGGUCAGGGGGAACUUUUCUCACGCUGUGUCUCUAUCCUGUUUCAGUGGAGGACCGGACCUCUGUUCCAUUCCUGAUACUCUCUUAUCAACUCGCUGAGUAAUCUUGGCAUGUUACUUCACCUCUCUGUACUCUCCUGUUUCUUCUCAGCCUCUCUGUGGGGCAAGCUUCUGCCUUAUUGAAGGGAUGCUAUGGGCUCCAGGAUCUUCUCUCCGAGUUUAGGCUGUGGAGGUGUAAAGGCUGACUGACAUUAGGCAGUUCAUCCAGGGCUUUGCUUUCCUCUACGCUCCUACUUCCUAUCUUUCCACAAAUGACUGUUUCCUGGUAUGUUCUCAGGGACGACAUGCCUCAUGGUCUGUUAACUUUCACUCAAGUCUUUUAAUGUUACAUCUGUGAGGAAUGCGGGAGGUGGGACUAAUUUGACAGGAUCAACGGUUAAGCCCAGUGAUGGACAGACUCUUUGUGGUGUCUUCUGGCCUCCACUCUAAUGCCACUCAGCAGAUUCCCAGCUGUAUGGUCUUCUCUCUUCCUGAGCCCCUGGCAGGGAAGUUUUGAGUGGUUCUCCUAUACUGCCUUUCAUGGUCCAUCAGAAAUUGAUUUUUCUUUGGGGGGAGGAGGUUGGGGGUAAGAUGAGGUAAAGCUGGGAGGAAAGCUGGUUCAACUAGUUAUUCUGGAAAGGUGUUAGAGUCUCAUGGCUUCUGCCCCAUCUUUGCUUAUGAGAGGAUGACAAGCUAAAGCCUUGUCUUUGUUGGGCUGCCUUGUUGCUUUCCAUUUGUGUGUGUAUGUGUGUGUGUUUAAUGUAAGUGAAAGCUCCUCUACAGACUUCUGUAGGUAGGCUGUUUUUGAUGUCAUCUUAUCUGACUGAGAGGGUGACUGAUGACAUUUUGGAGCCUUGGAGGUGACUAUCAGGUCUUGACUCCCAUGUUCUUUGAAGGACUUGACUGAGAGUUUGGAGCUCUGUGUUAAUUAGAAAUUGUAAUCAGGGAGUAGCAAGGCAACAGGUGGAAAGUGGACCAGGCAAGAAUCUGGAUACACUACUUGUGUGCUUGUGCCCCAUUGGAUGGAGGUAAUGCUAUUUGGUUGUGUCUCAGCAACCUCUUGAAACAAAAUGGGCAAUCCAGGCCUAGAUAUGGUAGGAUAGGAGACGUAGUGGACCUGCUGUGUGGUAAAUACUGCUACUUUUAGGAGUUUUACAUAUAUUCUUAUCUAAUUUUACAGUAACUCUUUGAGAUAGAUAUUGAUCUCCCCAUUGUGCAGACGAGGGGACUGAGGCUCAGGAGAAAUUAAGUGACAGACUCCACAUGGAAAAACUGACCUUCAAAUUGACUUCUGUCUGACUCCACAUCCCAAGCUAUUUACAUAAGUGAAAGAAAGAGAAGAACUAGGCUGCCUAGUCACCUGAGGUAUUACUGGCUGCAGUUCUUUCUGCCUAACCGAGUGUUUUCAAGUGAUGGGGAAGUCCAACAAUCGAACAAAUAAAAAAGAGAAGAAACUCAAAAUAUGAAAAUUCAGACAUGAAUUUGGAAAUGUUAAAAGGUUUGAGGCUGUUAAAAAACAUCAGUUGUCUUGCCAACUUGUUUAAGGAUUGUCUUCUGUAUAUGAAAAGUAAAAUGUGUGGGCUUGAUAAGGCAAACUCCACUGGAGUUUCAAGUCUGGAUUGCAUUUUUGAUGUCAGUAGUUUUAUGCUGUCUACAUAGUGGAGUAUUAUUAAUCUGUGAAUAUCAUUGUUCAUAUUUCUACAGUAGCAAGGGAUCUUUGAAAAAACAUUAUUAAAUUUGCAAGUAUGAUUUGUUUUCAGUGGUGUCUUCACUGUACUUUCAUCCUGAGUUUUACAUUAAAAUAAAAAGGAGAUAGGGAUUUAUUUCACAAAUUCAUUGCUGCAAAUCUGGCUAGAAAACAUCACUGUAUUAAGAGACUUUUGCAUAUUUGGAAUGAUUAUCUAACCCGAUGCCCUGUAUACUUACAGAAAAUUCUCAGGAAAAGUUAACUUUGUGUACAGGUGGGUGUGCCAGUCCCUUGCCUACCUCCAUUCUUAGAUUUGCUUUCUAUAACUGUAAUUUUUUUUUUUUUUUGCUUUUCUGUGUGCUGAAAAACUGAAAUUCAGAAUGUUGUAAAGAUGCUUGUGCCAUGGAACUUGGUCUCUUCACUCUCCUUUCCUCCCUCCUUGUACACAAAACUCAUUUCAUGGUAAAAAUCUAAUGGGCACAUGGGUUCCUUUACCUAACUCUUCUCUCUGGCCAGGUGAAAUAGCUUGUAAUUUAUAUUUGAAACUGAUUGGAAUAGCUAACUGCUGGGGGUAUUUUUGUGACUACCCAAGUGCUCUGGCUUUUAUAAGAGCCAGCUUGCCAGUUUCUCUCUGCUGUAUGAGAUCUGGUGGGAGGAUGAUAUUCUCCCUCUCUGGAUGUAAAGGGUUAAAUAUGUAAUUUUCAUGUUUUCCCGUGCCUUUGGCUGGAGAAAUGCACAGUGUUCUGAAACCUGCCCAGGCCCUGCACAUACUGUAUCUGCUUAAAGAAGGCUUUGGCUCUUAGCCCUUCUCAGCUGCAUUAGGGUUCAGGUUUCAUCUUUCUCCCCUUCCAGCCACUAAUAAAAGCCAAAA